CCUACGGGAGGCAGCAGUGAGGAAUAUUGGUCAAUGGACGAGAGUCUGAACCAGCCAAGUAGCGUGAAGGAUGACUGCCCUAUGGGUUGUAAACUUCUUUUAUAUGGGAAUCAAACGUUCCACGUGUGGGAUUUUGUAUGUACCAUAUGAAUAAGUAUCGGCUAACUCCGUGCCAGCAGCCGCGGUAAUACGGAGGAUCCGAGCGUUAUCCGGAUUUAUUGGGUUUAAAGGGAGCGUAGGUGGAUUGUUAAGUCAGUUGUGAAAGUUUGCGGCUCAACCGUAAAAUUGCAGUUGAAACUGGCAGUCUUGAGUACAGUAGAGGUGGGCGGAAUUCGUGGUGUAGCGGUGAAAUGCUUAGAUAUCACGAAGAACUCCGAUUGCGAAGGCAGUUCACUGGACUGCAACUGACACUGAGGCUCGAAAGUGUGGGUAUCAAACAGGAUUAGAUACCCGUGUAGUC
RNAcentral lists this ribosomal RNA (460 nucleotides) under uncultured bacterium. Its description in RNAcentral is "partial 16S ribosomal RNA". It matches the Rfam family "Bacterial small subunit ribosomal RNA", at positions 338 to 795 of the family's 1533-position model. The record is from RNAcentral.